CUACGGGGUGCUGCAGUAGUGAAUCUUAGACAAUGGGGGAAACCCUGAUCUAGCCAUGCCGCGUGAGUGAUGAAGGCCUUAGGGUUGUAAAGCUCUUUCGCUGGGGAAGAUAAUGACGGUACCCAGUAAAGAAACCCCGGCUAACUCCGUGCCAGCAGCCGCGGUAAUACGGAGGGGGUUAGCGUUGUUCGGAAUUACUGGGCGUAAAGCGCGCGUAGGCGGGCUAUUAAGUCAGGGGUGAAAUCCCGGGGCUCAACCCCGGAACUGCCUUUGAUACUGGUAGUCUUGAGUUCGAGAGAGGGGAGUGGAAUUCCGGGUGUAGAGGUGAAAUUCGUAGAUAUUCGGAGGAACAGCAGUGGCGAAGGCGACUCACUGGCUCGAUACUGACGCUGAGGUGCGAAAGUGUGGGGAGCAAACAGGAUUAGAUACCCGCGUAGUC
This 439-nucleotide ribosomal RNA is filed under the name uncultured bacterium. Its description in RNAcentral is "partial 16S ribosomal RNA". It matches the Rfam family "Bacterial small subunit ribosomal RNA", at positions 339 to 795 of the family's 1533-position model. The record is from RNAcentral.